This 18202-nucleotide long non-coding RNA is filed under the name Prunus persica (peach). RNAcentral describes it as "long non-coding RNA (PPER_LNC000057)". The record is from RNAcentral. Lineage: Eukaryota; Viridiplantae; Streptophyta; Magnoliopsida; Rosales; Rosaceae.
AAAAAUCUAAAAGGUUAAAUGUUGAAUUUGAUAUUUAAUGUCAAGCUCCAUUAAUUUAUUAGAAGAACAUUUACAUAAAAACAUGCCCUAUAGGCUAUAGAUAAGAAAGGAGCCUCAAAUACCGCAUUAGCUCUUAUUUUAGUGUAAGAUAUUUUACUACAUACACACAUAUUAUUAUGGCCUUGUUCAAUUGCAUGCUUGCAACGAGAGAUUGCCAUUACAAGAUUACACACAUAGAGAUAGUACCGACAUUGUUGUCCAAAAAUCCGGCGUUGUUAGGGUUAGCACCAUAUCUUAUGUUGGAGUGGGAGUCGGAGUCGAAAAAUCGGGCAUUGUUAGGGUUUGCACCAAAUCUUAUGUUCGAGUUGGAGUUGGCAAAUCCUGCAACAUCCUCCUCCGAGAUGUUAGUUCUGAUUUUAGCGUGGCCCGUGUUGUUCACACCAAAUCUUUUGUUGGCAAGUCCCUUUAAGUAGUCAACGUCCUCCUUCGAGAUCUUAGCUCUGAUUUUAACGAGGCGUGGGUCGUACUCAUCAAUUCUUUUGUUGGAGUUGGCAAAUCCCUUCAAGUAGUCAAAGUCCUCCACAGAGAUCUUAGCUUGGAUUGUAGCAAUGCGCGAUUCGUCCACAUCAAAUCUGUUGUUGAAGUUGGAGUUGGAAUAUCCCCUCAAUUGAUGAUCGCCCUUAGCUUCGAUUUCAAUGCUCCCACCCCGAAUUCCAACAAAUUUGUGGUUGUUAUUUUUAAGAUAGGGUUUGGGGUUGAUUUCAUCGUCCCAACCCCUAAACCUUAAACAGCCUUGGUUGCAGAAGUUGGUUUGAUCUUGAUUCGACGUCAUUGUCUGUCUCACUGAUAAGUUUUUAGGUUAUGGUGUGUGUUUGCUCUGAUGAUCAACUCAUUGCCUCAUGGUUGGUCUCCUUUUAUAGUUAUUUGAAUGUGCAAAAGCAGAAGAUAUUUUAUAACAGCCGAUACCCUGAGCAUAAUACAGAUUCUAUAUUGAUCAAAUUCUAUACAUUUUAUCUUCUUGGAAUAAUAUUCUACAGUGACAGAUAGUACAGUCGUAGUGGCCUUUCUUAUUAGAGGAUCUUUUUAACUUCUUUGGCAAUACAUCUCAUUCAAGUUACUGAUGACUAUCUCUAUAUGUACAGUCAGCAGGCUUCACAUGUUAGUUGUUAGAAACUGUUAAGAGUUUGUUAGUAGCUUACUUAAGCUUUCAGUAAGCAUACUAUAAGUAUGCUAAUGUAUACUGUAAUUCAUUCUUAACAAAUAUGCAAAUCAGAAUAUACAUCUUCUUCUUUGAUUUAUCUCUGCCUUCUCUCUACUUUCUUUAGCUUCCUUCAAUUCUAGUCUGAAAAUACCUGUAGGAUAUCUAUAUAUGCCUGCAGAAAGUUAAACAAGCUAAUUCGAAUUUUUUGCAAUAAAUAACGAUCAACCUUUGAAGCAGUAUUGAUAUUAGUUAUCAAUCCUAAGAUGUGCAAAGCUUAAAAUAAAAGAACACGCAGAGAAUUAUUUUACGUGGUAAAACCCCACAUCUGGGGAAAAUCCACGGGACUCCUCAGUCCAACUCAAAUCCACUAUAGAACGAUGAUUACAAGAAGUACUCACACACUUAUCCUAGACUCAUUCUAGAUAAUGUUUACCGACUUCUUCGUAACUCAACUUCUGUCACGGGAUGAUCUUCGACACUCCUUAUGUUGAACACAAUACUGGCCACGAUUGCUUCAAGCUCGCAGGAGGAAAACCGCCACCACGGUCUUGGUGCACUCAACCGUAUGAGUCACCGACAUGCAUAUGAAUGCAAUAUGAAUGAUUAAAGUGUUUGAUAAAUCACCAAGUAAACAUGGAACACUUGAUGAUUUAUCUCAAAUAUGUGCACAACAGCUUUUGCUUAAGAAUUCUAUAUGCUCAACCCAUAUCGAAAAGUCUCGAAAAAACCAAAGAGAUGCAAGCUGCUUUUAUUCAAAGCUUCCUAUACCUAGUCAGAUCAGAUCACACGAGUACCAAACCCACUUCAAUUAUAACUAUAAACUUUUAGCUUAAUUUGGACUCUUAUGAAGACCACAAUUGGUUUUCCAACAUGAAUACAAGUUCAAUAUGGAUUCUUAUUGAAAAACGCCAACCAAUCAAUUUUUAAUAGAAAAACAAUAUCUAUUAAACCAAUAUCUAUUAAAACAAAAAAACUCAAACUAGGAAUCCUAUAAUGAAUGCAUGAUUAUGUCAUGAUUUACCUGAAAUUAAGUUUCUCAUAUCGGUCAAGUCAAGCCUCGGAUGUAUGGGGUUGAAUGAGUUGUGCCAAAACGUCCAGUAACAAUUCUUCACACACUAAUUUUCAACCUAUGAUAGAGUCUAGGAAAUGACAAUACAAUUUUCAUACUAACAAUCUCCCCCUUUGGCAUUUCCUAGACAAAACACCUAUUACAACUCAAAAGAAAUUACAUGGGAUUCAACAAAUGAAAUCCUACUCUAAACUCAAGGCUCUGAAUCCCUGCACAUUAUGAAACAACAAAACCAGUGAAGCAUGUGGGAGAAGAAAUGUAAUUCAAGGCAAAAUUACAACACCACUCCCCCUUAAUUCUACAACACAAUCUCUCCCCCCUUUUAUUAUAAUUUCACAAUCAUCUCUUCCCCUUUUUGUCAGGAAAUCCAAAGAGCAAGGAAAGAGUACAAGGGAGCAUAUAUAAAGGCAAAAAUAAGAGGAAAAAUUCAGUUGUGCCACAAGUCUGCAACUGGCAGGAUUGAUAAUGAAGCUGCAAUCCUCAGGUUCAAUUUAUCAUGUAUCCGUCUUAGUAACAUGAAGGAAAGCCUAACUGCACAAUUAAACAAGAAGUAAAAACCUACACUAUGUUUGAAAACAAAAACAAAUUCGUUUUUUUAUUUUUUUUUAUUUUUAAAAUGUAAAAGAUAAAGCCACUGAAUAAAAAAAACUGAAAAAUAUAUAUACAUAGAUAAGCCACACUUAGAAAAGAGACAAAACCACAAAGACAUCAAUCAAAACAUCAAUUACUAUGCUUAAUAAGAACCCAAGACUCCUCCUUCAUUCAUGCCAAAAUUUUUUUUGAGUACAUGCCAACACUAUGCAUAAGAAUAGACAAGCAAAGUCAAUACCAAUAUCUAUCUAGAAGCAUUUGGAAGCAAAGCCUUUCAAGAUCGAAGGCACAUCAAAUCACAAAGGUUUAAUCAAAUACUAGGAUUAUAAAAUGGGAAUCAAAAGUAUUUGUAAGAGAUAAAGUCCAUCAAAAGAGCAAAUAUUAAAUCUCAAUCUCGUGUUAUGUGACCAAACUUACUUAAUAACAAAGAAAAAAUCCAAUCAAGAGCAAGCCAAGAACAUAGAAUAAACACAUACAAAAUGCAUACAGAGGUCACCACUUUCAUUUUUUCCCUUUUUUUUUAAAUUUUAUUUAUUUAUUUAUUUUUUUUAAUGCUAACUUUAUUAAGCUUUCUACAAGACUCAUGUAACGGGUGUUAAAUCAAUGUGCUCAAAUCAGAUGACUUUAAGACAAUGGGUGUUAAAGCACCCCUAGGAUGUGCUAACCCGAGUCAUGUAGGCUACAAAGAAGAACAAAGUGUAUAAGAUCAAAGCUUUUUGACGCGAGCCUCGACGUUGGUUAGACAAGAGGCCCGGUUACUUGGCAAGGAUCAAACACUUAUUUUACUUUUCUUUUAAUUAAAGAGAUGUUACAAAAAUGUGAGCUCAGUAGCAAAAAGUAUAAUGCAAAUCUAGUAUCAAGACAAGGGCAAGAUGAGGAUUCAUUCAAAAUUAUUAAACAAGAUUAGAGUGUAUGUGCUAAAUGAGAGACAUGAGAUAUAAUAUAAAGAGCAUUUAAUUGACUUUAUAAAAAACAAAGACAGUCGAGAACCAUUCACAUAAACCCAAUCUUAAUCUGCCCAAUGUGAUCCAACGCCAAAAAUCCAGUCUAAGAUCAGCAAAAACUUCCAGAGGUCAGUAGGAUUGAUAUAGCUUAUCAAUCCCUGCAUGUGCUGAACAAAAUACUUAGAAUUUAAACAAAUUUCAAAAACUGAUAAGAGAAUAGCUGGAGUCUUUUGGCAUGCAUGCAAACAAUUAUUCAAAAGAACAAAUACCUAAAGAUUUUCUAAGAGUGUCAAAUCGAAGAUUAUCCAAGGGUUUUGCAAUAAGACAUUUAAGAUCCAAAUUUUCUAAAGCAACGGGUUCAUGCACAACAUUAGUGGAGGCAAACAUACAAUUAUGAUUUUCCUUUUUCCUCCACACUAACUUUGUCUUAGUUGACGGCAAACAAUGAAAAGAAGAUAGUUUAGAUAAGCGGUUUACCUCUUUCAUAAGAUUUGAAAUCUUAUGUUGGAUGCUUACUUUUCCACCCAUGCCAUGAGAAUUUGAAUGAACAAAUUCAUUUCGAAGCUUAUUGCAUCUUGGUCUUAUGUGCCCACGAGUUCCGCAAAAGUGACAAAUUGGAAUAAAUUUUUUGACUUCAUGAGCGGCAGAAGGUUCAAUAGGUGAAGUAGAUUUGACAAACUUUGUUUUAGACACAGCGGAAGACUUAUUACUUGGUUGAAAUCCCAAGCCUCGUUUGUCACCAUCUCUUCGUCCCAUGCUAAUCAUCUUGUCAAUUUUUUCUGCACCAAUGGUUAAAGAAACAAUCCUUUCCUUUGAAUUUUUAAGUUCAAGUUCAAGGGCUUUGUUGUCAGAAGUUAGAGAAGCAAUUAAUUUAUUCUGAUCAGUCAAUUUUUUCUACAAAAACAUCAAUUUUUCGUUCAUACCUGCACUUACCUUUUCGGAAUCUGCAUCAGGGGAUUGAAACUCGUUUGCAAUCCUGCAAUUUUCCAGCUUCAGCACAGCAACUUCUUUACAAUCAUCAUCCUCAUGUGAUUCAUCCAAGCUAACUGUGGUUAUGAGUGCAACCAUCUUUUCAUCAUUCUCGCAUUCCGAUUCACUAUCACUUCAAGUAGUAUGCAUUGCCUUAUUCUUGCCAUCCUUUUGUUUCUUUAAGGUGUUGGCACAUUCCGAAGAUAUGUGUCCAUAGCCUUCACAUUCGAAACAUUGGACCUUUUCUCUUGGAUUCUUUCGUUCAUUUGACCUGCGAAAUUUAGACCUACCAUCAGUAUAGUUAACAAACCUAUUUUUAGAAUUUAUACCUUUUGAAUCUCGACUCCUUGGAUCCUGAUUCUUAAGAAAGUUCAUGAAUCGUCUUGUGAGAAUCAUUAAUUCCUCAUCACUGCAAUCUUCAUUUGAAUGCCCAUCAUCUUCUUCAUUCACAACCUUGAAAGCAACAUUUUUGCUCUUUUUAGGAGCUAGAUGUUUCAUCUCAUAGGUUUGUAUGGACCCUAUGAGUUCUUGAACUUUCAAGGUGUUCAAGUUGCGGAUCUCUUCAAUAGCCGUGAUCUUUGGUUGAAAUCGUUGAGGCAAGGAUCUCAAAAUCUUUUUCACAACCCUGUCUUCUGGAAUUUUUUCACCUAAACUUGAACAAGCAUUCACAAUUACACACAGUUUAGCAUAAAAUUCAGAAAAAGUUUCAUUCUCAUCCAUCAUGAGUGUCUCAAACUGUAAAGUAUGCAUUUGAAGCUUGGCUCCCUUGACAGUAUCUGUUCCUUCAUGAGUAACCUGCAAAAUAUCCCAAGCUUCCUUAGAAGUAUCACAACCAGAUAUAUAUUCAAAUUGAUCUGAAGAGACAGCAGUAAAUAAAGCAUUUAACCUAUUUUGAUUAUUAGUGCUGUGUGUGACUUCUGCAGUGGUCCACUCCUCUCUAGCUUUGAGGAUUGUGGUUUCUUCAUCUCAUUUUCCGAUCUUCUUUGUGGGUUUAGGAAAUCCAUGAACCACUGUACUCCAUACACGUUCAUCUAAGGACCAAAGAAACGACUUCAUUUUGGCCUUCCAAGCGCCAUAGUUGUUGCCAUCAAAAUAUGGUGGAUGUGCAAUUGAGCCCGAUGCACGAUCCAUCCUAAGGUAUAUUAGAUCUUACUGAGUAUGUCCAGCAACCUGCUCUGAUGCCAAUUGAAAAUACCUGUAAGAUAUCUAUAUAUGCCUGGAGAAAGUUAAACAAGUUAAUUCGAAUUUUUUGCAAUAAAUAACGAUCAACCUUUGAAGCAGGAUUGAUAUUAGUUAUCAAUCCUGAGAUGUGCAAAGCUUAAAAUAAAAGAACACGCAGAGAAUUAUUUUACGUGGUAAAAUUCCACCUCUGGGAAAAAUCCACGGGACUCCUCAGUCCAACUCAAAUCCACUAUAGAACGAUGAUUACAAGAAGUACUCACACACUUAUCCUAGACUCAUUCUAGAUAAUGUUUACCGACUUCUUCGUAACUCAACUUCUGUCACGGGAUGAUCUUCGACACUCCUUAUGUUGAACGCAAUACUGGCCACGAUUGCUUCAAGCUCGCCGGAGGAAAACCGCCAUCACGGUCUUGGUGCACUCAACCGUAUGAGUCACCGACAUGCAUAUGAAUGCAAUAUGAAUGAUUAAAGUGUUUGAUAAAUCACCAAGUAAACAUGGAACACUUGAUGAUUUAUCUCAAAUAUGUGCACAACAGCUUUUGCUUAAGAAUUCUAUAUGCUCAACCCAAUAUCGAAAAGUCUCGAAAAAACCAAAGAGAUGCAAGCUGCUUUUAUUCAAAGCUUCCUAUACCUAGUCAGAUCAGAUCACACGAGUACCAAACCCACUUCAAUUAUAACUAUAAACUUUUAGCUUAAUUUGGACUCUUAUGAAGACCACAAUUGGUUUUCCAACAUGAAUACAAGUUCAAUAUGGAUUCUUAUUGAAAAACGCCAACCAAUCAAUUUUUAAUAGAAAAACAAUAUCUAUUAAACCAAUAUCUAUUAAAACAAAAAAACUCAAACUAGGAAUCCUAUAAUGAAUGCAUGAUUAUGUCAUAAUUUACCUGAAAUUAAGUUUCUCAUAUCGGUCAAGUCAAGCCUCGGAUGUAUGGAGUUGAAUGAGUUGUGCCAAAACGUCCAGUAACAAUUCUUCACACACUAAUUUUCAAUCUAUGCUAGAGUCUAGGAAAUGACAAUACAAUUUUCAUACUAACAUAGUCUUUGUGAAAUCUUUGAUCUGUCCUCAGUUACUACUGUGUGCAGAUUGUUAAACCUCAGUAAUGGGGUAGCUAAUGUUUUACAAGGACUUCAAGGCUUGUUUUGUAAGUUUUUUUUUUUUUUUCUUCCAAACAAUGGAGAAGGGAAGGGAGCUCUUCUAACAGUGAGAAGAGCAAUGCAACUUGGUUGAUAGCUUGAAAGAUGGAUGGUGGGAAGUCGAACUAGUAACUCCUAUAACUUCAAGGACAAUCCAUUCUUAUGAUAUUGCAUUUUCAAAAAAGUUGAAAGCACUAUCAAUUGAAUUCGAUAAGGAUAAUGAAGUUGACAUAGCUUUUCAGAGACAGAUUCUAUAUUGAUCAUAAUAUUCACAUAUUAAAUUCGAAUUCCAUAUAUAUAUGUAUAAUGAAGUUGAUACAUCUUUCGGAAAGGAUAGAUCCAUAUCUAAUAUAUUUCUCAUUGAAGUUACUACUUUAGGUUAUCAAUACUGAUUAGAAUCUUUCUAUCAUAUCAAGAAUUCUCCACUUAUUUCGUGAGUGGUUCUUAUGUGGAUGGUGGGAAGGUUAAUUAGCUUUGUGAGUAGUUUCAAAAUUCCUUGUCACACUCGGGAGCCAGAAUAGGGGAAAAGUAUGUGUCCUAUGCCUGAUGAUAAAGUAAAUAACAACUUAAAACCAAAAGAUCAACUUUCUUAUAGAAUAACCAAAAACAUAUAUAAAAACAUGAUAUACACUUAUGCUAUAACUUCAGCUCGCCUAACCCUCUAGAGAAAAUGUCCCAUAUUGGAAAACUAAUAAAUCUUGAAAGGAUUUAUAAGGAGUUGAACUACUCGUCAUUGCCAAUUGACUUUGGGGUGAAAGAACGAUUAGACACUUGAAAUUCUACAAUUGUCAACAAAUUCAUAGCUUUGUCCAACCAUGCAAUAAUAGAUUGUAUACUCAACAAAUUCAAAUAGUACCAAAGAUGCGUACCUUGUUUCUUGCAUGCCCUUCUACAAUAUCCUUUAAAAAGAGUACCGAAGAUGCGAUUAAAAGAAAUAAAGGAAGGGAACCUUUCUUAGUUCGGAUUUCUAAUAUUCACUUCUUCUUUUAUUCCAUAUAUACAAAGAGUACCGAAGAUGCGUACCUUGUUUCUUGCAUGCCCUUUUACAAUAUCUUUUAGAGCAAGGCCAGCGCACCCAACAAACUGGGCCAAAGGCAGCCCGAGAGAAGGAAGACCAGCUCCAGCGCGGAAGGAGAAGCCCGGGCAAGGCGUGGGUCCCACCAGCCCGGGCAGGCCCAAGGGCGAAAUCAGACUGGGCUCGAGCCCGAGUUGGAUGACGUCAUCACUGACGUCACGAUGACGUCAUCCAACCCCAGUGUCCAACGGUAACCUGCCACGUGUCAACACCGGGUGGCUCCGAUUGGUUUUUUUCCAGAAAUCCUACGGUUCUCAUUUUUUUGGCCAAAAAAAUUUAAAAAAUAUCCUAAAAAAUCCGAAAAAAUUCUGAAAUUUUUUUAAAAAAAAUACCAAAAAAGUAUGUAUUUUUUCCCUAUAAAUACCUAACCAUUUUAUCUACUUUCAACACCAAAUCUUCAUACAAUUUCUUCUCCAUACAAUAUUUUCUACUCUCCACUCACAUUAUUCAUUUUCCACACCAAUUCUCCAUACAAACUCAUCUCCUUCCAAUAUUUUUUACUCUCUACUCAUAUUUUCCACUUUCCACACCAAUUCCAUACAAACUUUUCUCCUUCCAAUAUUUUUUACUAUCCACUCACAUUUUUGUACUACUUUCCAUUUGUAGAAAAUAAACAAAUGGCAUCUUCUGUCGAAAUCGGAGGCUCGUGGUCAACCCAGGAAGAUAUUGCGUUAUGCGAGUCUUGGGUGAACGUUAGUCAUGACCCUAUCACGGGCAAUGAGAUGAAGUUCCAUCAUAUGUGGAGCAAAAUUCAUGGAGAAUUUUGUCAAAGAUCGGGUUCCAUUCGGACCGAAAUGGCUUUGUCUAGUAGAUGGAAACUUCUAAACAAAGAGUUAGGGAAAUGGAGAAAUGCCUUGACAAAAGCAAAGGACAACAUUCGGAGCGGUGCGAAUCUUUCCGAUGAGGUAAAAUAUUUUUAAUUGUCAUUUUAAUCAAUUUAAUGUAACUUUUUUUUAUUGCAUAUUCUAUUUCUUUUUGUUGCACAAUGUUUAUUUUAUUUUUGCAUUUCCUAAUUGGCUUUAUUUAUUUACAUAAUCAAUUUUAUUCUUGCAUUUCAAAUAUGUUUAUAAUUUCAUGCAUAAUCUUUAUUUUUUGUUUUUGCAUUUUCAAUUUGUCUAUAUUUAUUUACAUAAUCAAUUUUAUUCUUGCAUUUCAAAAUAGUUUAUAAUUUCUUGCAUUGUAUAUUUUUUUAAUGCACUUCCAAUUAUUUAUUUUGAAUAGAUCAUACAAGCACAAAUGUGGUUCGGUGCCAUGGGACAAGGGAAAAAAAGUUUUGUGCAUUUCCAAUGUUGGGAAAUUGUCAAGGAUUGUUCCAGAUUCAAAAUUAUUCUUACCGCACCCCCGGUUGUGUUGCAUGAGACGCCGCUCCACGAAUCGCCAUUAACCGAUUCACCAUUGGACUCCCCAAUGGAAACGGAGUCACCACUCCCACGUCCGCCGAGACCUAUUGGGAGAAAGGUGGCAAAGGCCAAGAGAGGGGGCACUUCGAACAUUGAUUGUGUUCAAAUAUUCGAGCAAAUAGCUAAGAACAACUCUCUAAGAUUGGAGAGAGACUUGAGGAGAGAUGAAGCGGACAAGGCACGAUUGGAAGCCUUUGCAAUUGAAAAGCAACAUGCAAAAGAAAAAGACGACGAUGAAAAAGAGAUGAAAAUCAUGGCCAUGGAUACGAGCCAUAUGUCUCCUGAAACAAAGGCCUAUUGGAAGCAUAAACGAAGGGAUGUGAUGAGAAGAAAACUUUUCCAUGACGACGGACCUAGCAAUACGGAUUGGCUAAAUGAUGAAAACCAUUAGAUUGUAUUGUUGUAUUUUUUUAUAAUUGUUUUUUAAAUUGUUGUAUUAUCCUUUAAUUUGUUGUAUUGUUUCUUUUUUAUUCAAUCAAAAAAGCAUUCUAUAAUUGGACUACUUAUUAAAAACAUUUGAGCAUUCCUCACAAAGAUUAAUUAAAAACAAACCUUCAUUUAUUGCAAACAACACACAAAACAAACCAUACAUAAAAGCAUAAUAAUAAAAAAGACCUCGCAAUAAUUCCACAAAACACAACACACAAAAACAAAGCAUGAUUAAAAAAAAGCAUAAAUCCAAACAAAGCACAAAUCUAGCCUUCAUCCAUUGUGAUUGCCUUUCAUCUGCCACAAGUGCUCGAUCAAGUCAACUUGACGUCUUUCGUGAACAUAUGAAGAUUGCAUUUCUUGAUAACGAUCAAUCAUGGGGUUGUUGAAUCGACCAUCCUGAAGUAACGGUUCGGGCUCCAAUGGUAGUCCAUUUGGUCCUAUCGGCCUUUCAUAUAUUCUUGUCAACGCCGUGUUCAUAGGAUCGGGUUCAAACACCUCUGGAGCAUCGUAGUCAUACUCAUCCUCCACAAUCAUGUUGUGGAGGAUGAUGCAAGUCAUCAUAAUACUCCUCAGCACCUCCUCGUCUAGCAUCCGAGCAGCACCCCUGAUAAUUGCCCAACGAGCUUGCAAGAUACCGAAACACCUUUCCACGUCUUUCCUGUAACCUUCUUGAAAGGAAGCAAAGCUUCUUUCCUUCUCGGAUUGGGGAUUCGGAAUUGUUUUCACGAAUGUCGUCCACCUAGGAUAAAUUCCGUCGGCAAGGUAGUAGGCCCCAGAGUAUAUGGUAUUGUUGAUUUGGUAUAUGACCUGAGGGGAAUGACCUCGCAAUACCUCAUCGAACACCGAGGAUUGACCAAGGACAUUGAGGUCAUUCUGAGAUCCGGCAACCCCAAAAAAGGCAUGCCAAACCCAAGUGUCGAAUGAAGCUACGGCCUCCAAAAUGAUACUUUUUUGGCCCUUCCGAUUCCCAUACUCUCCUUGCCACGCAGUAGGACAAUUCUUCCACUGCCAAUGCAUGCAAUCAAUGCUUCCGAUCAUUCCUGGGAAACCUCGAGCCUCGCCUUUUUGUAGAAGCCUUUGCAGGUCCCUCGGAGUGGGUUUGCGAAGGUACUCCCUCGUGUACAAAUUUUCCACUGCAUCACAGAAUCUCACCAAGCACUCUAGGAUAGUAGAUUUUCCCAUCCUUGCAAUCUCAUCCACCUGCUCUGCAGAUGCCCCAUAAGCAAGCAUCCGCAAAGCAGCUGUAAGUUUUUGCUCCGGGAUAAGACCCAAAACUCCAACAGCAUCAUGCUUUUGAAUGAAGUAUGUGUCGUAAUUACAAAUAUCAUGCAUGAUUUUUUGGAACAAAUGUGGCUGCAUUCUAUAUCUCUCUCGAAACUUAUGAGCAGGAUAUAACGAAUUUGGGAUAAAGUAAUCCUCCAAGAGAUUCUUACCCCGAGACUCUCUGCGUCUGUCCACAUUCGGGGCACGACGACGAUGGUGUUGGCUUGAUUGAUUCAUCAUACACACCGCCGCUACUUCAAGCAUUUCUUCCUCUUCUUCAUCGGCGUCCCGAUCUUCUUCCUCACGUCUACGCCGGAUUUCUUCCCAUUCUUUCUGUUGCCUCUCCAACACCCUCCUGAAGUUUGACAUUGAGAGUAUAAUGGGAAAUUGUAAAAUCUGAGAAAUGAAGGAAUAUAUCAGAGAUGGUGUGAGAGGAGUGGUGUUGAUGGUGUAGUUAUAUAGAGGGAUUCAGAAGAUAGAGAUGACACGUGGCACAAUUUUAGAGGGUGAAAAUCUUAUCUGAAAUCUGAGAUCACUAUUUGUAAAAAAAUAUCUGAAAAUCUUAUCAGACAUGGGACACGUGGCACAAUUUUAGAGGGUGAAAAUCUUAUCUGAAAUAUGACAUUAUAAUUUUUUUAAAUUAUCUGAAAAUCUUAUCUGACAUGGGACACGCGGCACAAUUUUAGAGGGUGAAAAUUUUAUCGGAAAUCUGAGAUUAUAAUUUUUAUUAAUGAAUAUCCGAAAAUUUUAUCUGGAAUAAGACACGUGGCAACCGAGAUUCACAUCCGAAAAUCUUAUCCGAAAAUUUAAUUACAAAAAAUUAUCAAAAUUAAUGAUUUAAAGUAUUAAAAAAAUAGGAAAUAAAGUACAAUGAAUAGUAAUUGCCCUAGACUUGCCCUAGACUUUGCCCUUGUGGGUGGAACCACAAAUGGCAAGGCUGACACUAUUCACGUGAAUAGUGUCAGCCCUUGCUUGCCCUUGCCUUAGACUUUGCCCUAAGGGGUGGAGUUGCUCUUAACGUGAUCAAAAUCUUCCUCUUGACAUCUCUGUUUUGAGAUUUCCGAGGAUAGAGAUUAUAAUAUCGGUGAGCCCCUCAAUGGAAAUCCAAUCCUUGUUAAUAGAAUUCUCUGGCAUAACAUUUUGCAUUUGGCUUAAGGCAUCUAACAUGGACGUCUCAACACCUGAUAACAACUUUGCCUUGGAAGAUCUUAUCUUGAGGCAGUAAUUAAGUUCUCUCCACUCUUCUAUUGAUUGCCACAAUGGAAGGUUACCUCUCCAUGAAGUAUCUUCAAGAACCUCAUGUGUUUCGAUGACUAACUAAUUUGAUCCAACGGUUAAGAGAUAGAAAGUGCCAUAUAUAAGGACCUCACUAUAGAAUUCUUGCCCUUAGCCAACUCCUCCUAUAUCAAAACCUACUGGCUAGGCAAAACCCCCUCAGACUAUUAGGAAAGAUGCCUUUGGUUCAUUGAUAAACAAAUGUCAUGAUUCUUCUGGUGGGCGAAAGAGAGUCAACAACGAUAUAAAAGAUCCUUAUCUACAUUUUUCCAGCUACAAAUGUAUAUUAACUUUUUAUUUUUAAUGAAAUGGCGAGGGAAAUUCAAUCUUGGGAUAUGUCAAAAUAAUAUUAUUAAGACCUAGUUGGUAUUGACUAUUUGAUGUCGGAUAUCAAAUUAUAAAUGCAAAGUUACAUUGUGUACUUUUAUUAAGUACGUGGAAUGUACAUUGUGACUUUAUGCAACCUACUUUGGGUAGUGGUUUGGAACAAUUGAGUUCUAACAUUUAUAUAGUGUGCGUGAACUUAAUAUAUUAUUGUUCCUAGAAAAGGUCCUUUAAAAAAAAAAAUCCUAACAAAAAUCAUUAUUGCAUCCAAUAUAAAUAGUUUUUAACCAAUCAAUAAGGCACAAUAAAGCCAGAUAUUGAAAUCCACCUUGCUAUUUUACAUACUCACUCAAGCACAACUCAGAUAUUGUAAAAUACUAACAUCUUUGGCCACUUUUCAAAUACAUCCACGCUUUUAUGAUAUUUGUUGAUGCUCUUUUUGGGGAGGUCAACUUAGAUAAAGGUAGAAUGAUGGAUGAUGUGUGAAGAUGUUGGCCUUUAGUAUGUGUGUGAAAAUUUGGACAAGAGAUAGAUAUAAAGAAGACUAGAUAUACGUUCACCCUUAAUGAAUGGGCUACGUCCACGGAGAAGUAUGUUCUCAUUAUAAUAAUGUAUGAUUAUAUUUGUACAUGGGGUUGGACUCAAAUAUAAAGAUAAGAAGGAUAAGCCCAUGAUUAAAGAUAAAGCCCAGCCCAGGGAUCUAGAAGAGAGUCUCUCUCUCAGGGGAGAGUAGUCUUCUUUUAUAGGUGAAAGGGAGUCUCCAUCUCUUGUAGUUUUCCGAUGUGGGACUCAUCUUGCUUCGCUUAGAGUUGUGACUUGUGGUAAUGCUUCUUUGGCUAAGGUGAUGACCUCUCAAGGCAUGGCACGUGGAUGAUCUAGCCUAGCUAGUUGCUCGGUCAGUUACGAUACCAAUAGUAGUCCCCCAAGUUCGCAAGUAAGAAGAUACUUCUUGAUUGGGGACUUGUAAUUUUAAGUGCAUUGGCCGAGCAACACUAUAGUUCAUCUUCCAAGCUGCAUAGUGCACUGCCCAUAGUCCCCCAAGUCCUAGGUAAGAAUGACAUUUGGAAGGGAGAUAACUUGGCACGAAGGUGCCGAAGGUGAAGGGGUUGUCGAAGGCACAAAGUUGCAUGUCGCAGGGUGAUGUGGCUAGGCACGAGAGUGCCAAAGGCAUAAGAAUUGCAUGUCCCAAGACGAUGGGCCUAGGCACUAGGGUGCCGAAGGUGACACAAAGCUUGCAUGUUUACAAGGCGAUGUGUUUAGGCAGGGGGGUGCCGAAGAAAAAGGGGAUGCCGAGGGUGACACAAAACUUGCAUGUCGCAGGAAAAUUACCAAAGACCAUGAGACUUGGUAAGAUGCGGAAGGGCGCUACCAUGAAUCUUGCAUGUCGCAAGAAAAUUACUGAAAGGCAUGUGGGUGCCGAAGAUGCAAGACUUGUAUAUCACAAAAGAAAGCGCGUAGGAACGAGAGUGCCGAUAAUAUAAAAACUUGCAUGUCACAAAUGUUGUGCUUCCUCUGGGUCUUCAAUAACAGAGUUUUUUUUUUUUUUUUUUUUUGGGGUCUCUAUCCGUUUCGGCCCGAUGCUUGCCGUUCGGCAAGCAGGCCAAGUUUGUUUCGGCAAGGCCUAGGGUUUGAGCAUAGGUAUUUAUGAGCUAUCAUUGUGUUUCAGCAUACCUUUGGCUUACAACAAUUUUGGUGAGCUCAUUUGGAAAGGAGGAGUCUCGAGCGAAGUCGGUUUUCUUGCCACCAACUUCGGUAGCGCAGGUCCUACCGUUCGACAGGGAGACUAGGAGGAAUUCUAGUGCUCUCCAUCCAAUAUUCCUUUUGCAGGUGGCAAGGUGAAAAAGUUUCGGCAUGCCCCGGUUGGGGUACGACAAUUGUCGUGAACAUGCAUGUUGAAGAGUUGCUGGUAGUCCCUAUCGAUCGGCAAGGUUAAUCUCUUUCUCAUCGGCAAGGGGUGGUUGGGCACUUGAAGUGUCGGCAAGUACGCACUCCUCAGCAAGGGGGCUUUCGAAGGCUUUGGCAAGUGGGAUGUGUGCCUAGUGAAUGGUAUUGGAUCUUCUGCAGAGCCUGGGUCUUCUAAGAGGCAAGGUUUCGACAGGACUAUCAUGGUGGUUUGAGCCUGGGUUUUUCGAAGGUUCUGUAAUGAGCUCAAGUCGGCAGCAUAGCCUUGCUGAACGACAAGGAUGACUUGGGAGCGUUUUGGAUGGUGUCUUUGCUCAGGUGAUCUAUGUUCUUGAUCAGCGGGCACGAGUGAAGGUCAACGCAAUCUGUGGGUUGGAGUAAGGGCCUGGCAGGUCUGCUUCAGUAUGUUUUGGGGCUGGCCUUAUGAGCUGGGCUGCGGAAGAGGGGUUAGGCAAGGUCUAGUUGAAAUGAGGUUUUAUCCAAGGAGGCUAUACGUUCACGGGCGCCCCGUGAGCUUCUGCACGACCCUUGCCGUUCGGCAAGGGUGUUUUGAUGAUUUUUGUUGGCCUAUUUGGGUGCAACACUCUUGUCGUUCGACAGGGAGUUGAGGAAAUGAGUUAUGAGCGCUGAUUCAGAAGAGACCGAGAUAUAUUGGAGCUAGGCUUCAGCACAUCUUCGGCUUCAGCAUGUCGGGUUCCCUUUGUCAUGUAGUUCAACAAUGGGGCCUUGCUGUUCGGCAUAGGUGGAUUUGUGCCAUCUAUGCGAUAGGCUCUUCAUAUGCUGAACUCCUCAUCUGUACUGUCGUUCAAUAAUGGGAUCUUUUGAGCUUAGAGUAACAGUUGGAAUGACAUUGACGUUCGGUGCGAUGGGCUCUUCAUAUGCUAAACCCUUAUUCAUAUGCAAUAUUCAUGAAUCAUAUUGUUGAAUAGGAUUGUGCAAUGAAUUAUUUAAAUAUUGCAUGCUUGUAUACAAUAUUUAUAUGUAAGAGGAGAAAUCUUACCUUGUGAUGAGGAUACAUAUGGGCAUCCUUCAGAGUUGAGCAAUUUUUCCUUGGCCAUGCGCAAGCCAUGUAUGGUGAUAUCCUUGGUGCAUGUGGAAUAUUUGGCCGUUUCCAAAUUGACUCUUUCAACGUGAUUGAAAGGUGGUUCCUUGGGCUGAAAUGGUGGAUUUCUCUUUUUGGCCAUGCAAGGCGAGGUGUCGAAGGCAUCGCUCACUUCAGAGAGGCCUGCCAAAGGCAUCGCAUGCGCCACAUGAUGACGAGGUGCCGAAAGUAUCACUCACGCUGAAUGACGACGAAGUGCCAAAGGCAUCGCUCGCGUCGAAUGAUGAUGAGGUGCAGAAAGGCAUCGCUCGAGCAAAAUGACGACGGGGUGCCGAAAGCAUCGCUCGCGUCAAAUGAUGGCGGGGUACCGAAGGCAGCGCCGAAUGAUGAAGUUUGUAGAACAAGCUCAAGUCCCCAUAUUUUUACUCUUCAAAGACGUGCCGAACAGCACUUUGAAUUGAGAUGGUAGUUUGGCCAUACAAGCUAUGCAAGCCAUGCAAAAUGAUAGCCAUACUCUGACUGGCUUUUCCUUAAAAUAUCAUAUUUUGCAAUUUGUUGCCUUAUGCAAUUUGUUGCUCUAGUAAGGUAUUGCUGAACCACUUAGGUGAUGUUGAUUGUAUGGGUGCCCAAGGGCACUGAUGAAUGGGAGAACGACAUAAGCUUUUUGGGAGGGUCAACUUAGAUAGAAGUGAAAUGGUGGAUGAUGUGUGAAGAUGUGGGCUUUUAGUAUGUGUGUGAAGAUUUGGGUAAGCGAUAAAUAUAAAGAAGAUGAGAUAUACGUGAUUCACCCUUAAUGAAUGGGCUACGUCCAUGGAGAAGUAUGUUCUCAUUAUAAUAAUAUAUGAUUACAUUUGUAUAUGAGGUUGGACCCAAAUAUAAAGAUAAGAAGGGGUAAGCCCAUGAUUAAAGAUAAAGCCCAAUCCAGGGAUCCAGAAGAGAGUCCCUCUCUCAGGGAAGAGUAGUCUUCUUUUAUAGGUGAAGGGGAGUCUCCAUCUCUUGUAGUUUUUCGAUGUGAGACUCCUCUUGCUUUGCUUAGAGUUGUAAUUGUGGUAAUGCUUCUUUGGAUAAGGUGAUGACCUCUCAAGGCAUGACACGUGGAUCAUCUAGCCUAGCUAGUUGCUCAGUCAGUUACGGUACCAACAAUAUUAAAACAAACAUAAUUAAUUUACAUUGCAUCCUGGGUCACAAAGAAUCUCAUAUUAUACUUAACCAAAAUAAUGUAAUAUGUAGGAUAAACUAAUAAACUUCUCAUUUUGUUUACAUAUGUUAUAAAUUAAGUUAAUUUUUUCAAUAAUUUCUAAUCUUAAUUUGGGAUAGAAGUCAUACAUUUUGAUAAGAUUUUUUUUUUUUUUAAGACUUAGAAAAAAAUAUUAAAAAACAUUUCUAUAAAAAAAUAAAAAUAAAGCCUAGCAUGUUAAGCCCAUAGUAGUCCUCUCCGGCCAAUUAGGCCUGUCUAGGCCUAACCGGCCUUUGAAACCUUGGUCCAGCCUGCCCCGUAUCCAACUAGAACCCAAAAAUUUCGGAUCGGGCUGACGAACUAUACCUCAGGAUACUUAAAAAUGUUUUUGGCACCCAUUAUAUUCUUCUAUGGUGUUUAAUUAAUUUCUUUUUAAAAUUAUGAGUACUUUUUGAACCCAUUAUUUCUCUAUUUAUUUCGAUCUUCAUAGGAUCUAGAGGGCUAAAUAGCUAUUGUAAAGCAACAAUUCCCUUUAUUUUUUAUUUUAAAAAAGAUUCUCUAUCAAAUAAAAUACUUAUGAUAAGAGAAAAUCUGUUUCCAAGGACAUAAUCUAAAAGUUAAAUAUUGACAAACAAAAAAAUCUAAAAAUCUAAAAAGUUAAAUGUUGAAUUUGAUAUUUAAUGUCAAGCUUCAUUAAUUUAUUAGGAGGACAUCUACAUAAAAACGUGGCUUAUAGAUAAGAAAGGAGCCUCAAAUACCGCAUCAGCUCUUAUUUUAGUGUAAGAUAUUUUACUACAUUUUAUUAUGGCCUUGUUCAAUUGCAUGCUUGCAACGAGAGAUUGCCAUUACAAGAUUACACAAACAGAUAUAGUACCGACAUUGUUGUCCAAACAUCCGGGCCUGAUACGGCUGUACGUCCUACCAUUCAUUUUAGCUAAGCCCUUCAAGUAGUCAACGUCCUCUUCCGAAAUCUUAGCUCUGAUUUUAACGAGGCGUGGGUCGUUCUGAUCAAUUCUUUUGUUGGAGUUGACAAAUCCCUUCAAGUAGUCAAAGUCCUCCACAGAGAUCUUAGCUUGAAUUUUAGCGAUGCGCGAUUCGUCCACAUUAAAUGUUUAACAAGGAAUUCAAGGCUUGUUUUGUAAGUUCUGUAUUUUUUUCCGAUCAAUGGAGAAGGAAAGGGAGCUCUUCUAACGGUGAGAAGAGCAAUGCAACUUGGUUGAUA